Chelonia mydas (Green sea turtle) is the source of this 2107-nucleotide long non-coding RNA. RefSeq lists it as uncharacterized. The transcript has 4 exons. NCBI's taxonomy places the organism in Eukaryota, Metazoa, Chordata, Testudines, Cheloniidae. The record is from RefSeq and is a predicted model, not a curated record.
GUGUGCCGCUCUCUGGCUCCGGGCUGGCGGCGCAGCCUUGGUAAUUAAUUUCCUUUGCUCGCUCUCCCGCUAGGCGGGGGGGUGCCCAGCCCCCACUUCCCCGUCACACCUGGCUGGAGCAGGAGACAAAGGCAGCAGCAGCGGCUGUUGGGUCGAAUACAGAUUAGCUGGCGAUUUACCAGCCAAGAUGCAGCUGGCCCAGGUUCGGCCAGGGAUGGCUGUGGAGUGAUGGUCGCAGGAGGCAGCCAGCUUUGCUUUGCAAGGUUGGAGGCAGGGAUGUCUGUGGCAACAGUGAGAGGGAGGAGAAGCGCAGCUGGAAAGCCAGACCAAUCCCCUUUCCUUUGCGCCGGGGGUGCUGUUUGAUCAGCAUUGCACUGUCGUGUCACAGGGGCUUGUCCCGCUCCCAGCCAGAUCCCACCAGGCCCCAGCUGGACCUGAGCAGCUGCCCAUGUCUGCUUCCAGGACUGGGAUGUUAUCACCUGGCCCUGCUUGCAUAUGGACCAGGACAGCAGCCUGCCCCCCCUUCCCCCCAAAGGUGUGCCAUGGAGCCUCGCAGCAGGAGUCCGGUGUGUGCAAAUCAGGCCCAAGCCACCGGGGCUGAGCAAAAGGCUGAAGCAGCAGAGUGGAGUUCAGGGUCAGCUGCUUCAGAGGUGAGAUGAACUUUGCUUCAGAGCAGCUCAAAGACGAAGGCCCAGCUUUGGUGUCAGCAUGAAGGUUCCAGAGCAUUUCCCUGCUGCUCAGACGGAUCCCUGAGGUGCCAGGAGCAGUGCCGCUGCCUGCAUGGUGCCAAUGGCUAGUGGGAGCAGGAUCUAUCUAAAGCGUAGUGUGAUAUAUUAUGUAUGUUCAGCAUGAACUAUCAUGGAUUGCUAACGUGGCACCUCAACUUAACAACCACAAGGUUCUUCAUGAUUGACAAGAGGGUGACUGUUGGUUAGAGGGGCUUCCUCCCCAGGGGGCAGUAUUGGAAAAGGGGUAGAGCCUCUAACUAUUGGCAGGAGGCAGAGCUCAACUGCACUCGUGUCAUGCCUCCGUGGGAAAGCAAGUCUUGCUGGAACCGAGUGGGGCCGCAGCAAGGUGUUCAGCCCCAGGACUGACAAAUCAAAGCAAUCCUUAUUGAAAGGACAACACAGGGAAAUAACUUGGUAGGAGCCUUACCCCAACACCUUGAGGUCAAGCUUCACUUCUUAGCUGGGCCUGUCUUAAGGCCUUGGUGCAUUUCCCUGAGCAAAGGAGCCUUUGCUGUUUUCUAACAUACCACUGAAUUAAGACAAUAAAUAGCAGGCCAUGCAGUAACUCUCGGGAUAGCCUAGCCCCUGACUGUUACCACCUCUGCUGAGUUGUAAAUUGACCCAAGCUAAGGCUGUCUUCUUUAAUCAAUGAAGACACACUGAUUCUAAUCAGCCUUCCACUGGGGUAAUUCAAAUGGAGGCAGUGUACUGACAUGACCACCUCCAUAGCAGUUUCUCCACAAAAGGAAUCUCCUCUGGCUCACGCAGUCAGAUGAGGCUCUGCCGUACUGAGCAAGGUGCCUCCACCCGACUUUCCAGAGGCAGGGGCUGACCCAUCUCUCCAAUGGGCACACCACCACCACACAGGGUGCUUCCCGCCCUGGAGGACACCCUGUCGAAGCCCACAGAGAACUUCUUCAGAAUUCUGCCUCUGGGGCAGGGCACCAAACAGCAGAGGGGGCUGGAGGAGGACAAAAAGAAACGAAUACUGAAUCGCUCUCCAUCCCGGGCACUUACCGACCCAGGCAGAUGAAGACAACGAUAGCACAGGCAGGCGUCUCCUAACUUCCGAGCAUUCUGCUUUGCAACCUCAAGACAGUUCUUUCAGGCGGCCUUUUCAGAUGCAACACCAACUGACUUCUCAGCCUCGGGGGCUUGCUACCGCAAGCUAUCAGAUGAGAGGCAAAACAAUCCAGGCUGCGUUCAGAGGACAAGGGUGAACAGCAGCCACAGCUAUGUUCAGGGUGCACCUUUCCACUCAGGUAUAUGAGGAGCUGGGGGCAAUUGCAGCCCAAGGUCCCACAGCAGACUACACGGGACCACAGGCAAGGUCGGGGGGAAGGGGGACACUGGUGCCUGGACAGGCCCAAUGGUCUGCU